CAACAAUUUAAAAAAAUUACAAAGCACAAACACAUACCACUUUUACAUGGAAAAUAUGGCCUGUUCAAAUUUUAAAAAAUUGACACAAACCAUCACCAAGGAAGCCCAGAUAUUGGACUUACUAGAUAAGGUCUUGUUGUUGAGAACAGAAUAUCUUAAUAUUAUAAUGUGAUAGCUCUGGAAAUCGAAUUCUCCACCUUCCUCAGCAUUUACUUUUCACUGUUUGUCUGUAAUCAUCUUUUGACCCAGUAACUUUCCCAUCCCUCUUGCCCAGAGACCCGAUCCCCUGUCAGGUGUGCCCCUGGUGCUCAGCGAGGGUGUGGACCGGGGCUGCCUUGCCUGACAGGCACGCAGACCUCGCCUGCCUCCUUUGGUCCUCUCCUCGAAGCUCUGCACUGUGAUUCGCAUUCUGAGCACCGGGAUCAGCCAAAGAUGAACCCUAAGGUCUCUCCAGGACUUUUCUGCGCAUGAAUCUCGUCAUGGGUGUGGGUGUGGCUUUGCAAAUUCUCCUGGAUACACCUGCACUUUUGAAUGCCCUGAGUCUCCAAAGAAAUUCUCUCCCUGAUCUUUUCUCCCACUGCGUGGGUCAUCUGUCGGGUCUCAGUCUUGCUACAGGUUGUUUCCCGCCAUCCAAUGCGCCAACUGUUACCCUAGAAAUUAAAAGAUACAAGCUCAGUACAUUACAGGCAACAGAAGACCUAUAGCAUUUAUCCUAGCACCAGUUAAUUUAUCAAAUUCAUUUUCUUUAUCUACUGCAAAUUAUUUUUACAAGUCAAAGAUUAUUUACUUAGAGUUAAUUAUUUCCAACUCACACAGUACACAUCCAUGUUGGGAGCUGUCAAAGUUCAAAAAUAUCCAAAGUCCAGAGGAAAAUAUUUUAAAUGGAAGAAAAAUCUUGGUCACCUUCCAGACUUUUUGCCAAGAAAAGGAUCAAAUUAACACAGCUAUCAACGUUCUAGCGCUGCUGUAACAAAACGCCAAGGACAAGGUGACUGCCUGCUGCCCGAGGUCCAGGAGGGCGGCGUCCACAGCCUCUCUGCCUCAUGGACCUUCGGUGUGCCUGUGUCCUGCCCUUUUCAAAACAGCAGUCAGCUGAAUUCAGACCCCUAACCCGAGAAGGCCUGGUCCUAGCUGAAUCGCCUGUUUACUAUCUGUGGUGGUUAAGGUCAUUCUAAGUGGGAACGCCCAGCUGAGCCGAG
RNAcentral lists this long non-coding RNA (1199 nucleotides) under Heterocephalus glaber (naked mole-rat). Its description in RNAcentral is "lncRNA (ENSHGLG00000035057.1)". The record is from RNAcentral. Lineage: Eukaryota; Metazoa; Chordata; Mammalia; Rodentia; Bathyergidae.